ACACAAUCUUAAAAUCUUUCCAUCUUAGAAAAUUCUUUCCAAGUAUUUCUUUUGUGUUUUUUUUAGCCUAUAAAAGAUAAUGGAAUAUGUUUUAUAGACUGGAUUUUAUCUCAUCCCCCUUCCCUCUCCGGACGGCACUCAGUUUAAUAGUUGUCAGUUUUUCUUCAGUGUUGAAUUUAAUUAUAUAGGAACAAAAUAUUCCUCAGUAAAUUAGCUUGCUAAAUAUUCUGCCACGUUUGUGAUUUCCCCUUUGAGAAAUAGCUUAAUUACAGAAAUCUACCU
Molecule: long non-coding RNA, 282 nt
Filed under: Propithecus coquereli (Coquerel's sifaka)
Lineage: Eukaryota; Metazoa; Chordata; Mammalia; Primates; Indriidae
Description: WT1 antisense RNA conserved region 8 (ENSPCOG00000001211.1)
Rfam family: WT1 antisense RNA conserved region 8
Source: RNAcentral